Molecule: ribosomal RNA, 459 nt
Filed under: uncultured bacterium
Lineage: Bacteria
Description: partial 16S ribosomal RNA
Rfam family: Bacterial small subunit ribosomal RNA
Source: RNAcentral
CCUACGGGGCGCAGCAGUGAGGAAUAUUGGUCAAUGGCCGGAAGUCUGAACCAGCCAAGCCGCGUGAAGGACGAAGGUGCCAAGCAUUGUAAACUUCUUUUGUCAAGGGACAAAAUCAGGCUCGAGAGCCUGACCGAGGGUACUUGAAGAAAAAGCAUCGGCUAACUCCGUGCCAGCAGCCGCGGUAAUACGGAGGAUGCGAGCGUUCUCCGGCUUUAUUGGGUUUAAAGGGUGCGUAGUCGGGCUGUUAAGUCAGCGGUAAAAGCCCGGGGCUCAACCCCGGCGAGCCGUUGAAACUGGCUGUCUUGAGAUGUCGAGAGGUAUGCGGAAUGCGCAGUGUAGCGGUGAAAUGCGUAGAUAUUGCGCAGAACUCCGAUUGCGAAGGCAGCAUACCGGAGGCGAUCUGACGCUGAGGCACGAAAGCGUGGGUAUCGAACAGGAUUAGAUACCCGAGUAGUC